GCAAGUUCACCUUGCUUUCUGCCAUCUAAUCACAGGGGAAAAAGGGGCCUGAGCUUACCAGCACUGUUAGAAAAGUCCUACAGACAAGAAGGGGAGAAGGAGUGAGCACCAUGGCUCAGCUCUCCAACUUGAUGGUCCCUCAUAUGCAGCCAACUCCUGCAGGGCACUCCAGGAAGCCUGAUGAAACUGUUGCUGGUAUUACCCAAAAUGAUCCUCAGCUUCAUUGAAGAGAUCAGACCAAGAAGAAGAAAAAGAAAGGUCCAGCUCACCUUUAAGAGAGCACAAGGCGGAGGAGGUGGGAAUAUAUGGACUUCAGCCCUUCCCAUCCGUUUCCCCCUGUUACUUUCAAAGAUUUUCUAUUUAGAAAGGAAGGCUUUUUUUUUUCCUGCUGUUCAUACAUUACACAUACUUCCCAGCCAAAAUAUCUUGCUUGUAUAUUUUUUUAAUUUAACCUACAUUACUCAAAAUUGCUCUAAGAAUAAUUAAAGAGAAUUACUUUCCCUGUCU
RNAcentral lists this long non-coding RNA (507 nucleotides) under Serinus canaria (Common canary). Its description in RNAcentral is "lncRNA (ENSSCAG00000006633.1)". The record is from RNAcentral. Lineage: Eukaryota; Metazoa; Chordata; Aves; Passeriformes; Fringillidae.